AGAGUUUGAUCCUGGCUCAGAUUGAACGCUGGCGGCAUGCCUUACACAUGCAAGUCGAACGGUAACGCGGGGCAACCUGGCGACGAGUGGCGAACGGGUGAGUAAUACAUCGGAACGUGCCCAGUAGUGGGGGAUAGCCCGGCGAAAGCCGGAUUAAUACCGCAUACGACCUACGGGUGAAAGGGGGGGAUCGCAAGACCUCUCGCUAUUGGAGCGGCCGAUGUCAGAUUAGGUAGUUGGUGGGGUAAAGGCCUACCAAGCCUACGAUCUGUAGCUGGUCUGAGAGGACGACCAGCCACACUGGGACUGAGACACGGCCCAGACUCCUACGGGAGGCAGCAGUGGGGAAUUUUGGACAAUGGGCGCAAGCCUGAUCCAGCCAUGCCGCGUGCGGGAAGAAGGCCUUCGGGUUGUAAACCGCUUUUGUCAGGGAAGAAACGCUCUGAGCUAAUACCUCGGGGUAAUGACGGUACCUGAAGAAUAAGCACCGGCUAACUACGUGCCAGCAGCCGCGGUAAUACGUAGGGUGCAAGCGUUAAUCGGAAUUACUGGGCGUAAAGCGUGCGCAGGCGGUCUUGCAAGACAGAUGUGAAAUCCCCGGGCUCAACCUGGGAACUGCAUUUGUGACUGCAAGGCUGGAGUGCGGCAGAGGGGGAUGGAAUUCCGCGUGUAGCAGUGAAAUGCGUAGAUAUGCGGAGGAACACCGAUGGCGAAGGCAAUCCCCUGGGCCUGCACUGACGCUCAUGCACGAAAGCGUGGGGAGCAAACAGGAUUAGAUACCCUGGUAGUCCACGCCCUAAACGAUGUCAACUGGUUGUUGGGAGGGUUUCUUCUCAGUAACGUAGCUAACGCGUGAAGUUGACCGCCUGGGGAGUACGGCCGCAAGGUUGAAACUCAAAGGAGUUGACGGGGACCCGCACAAGCGGUGGAUGAUGUGGUUUAAUUCGACGCAACGCGAAAAACCUUACCUACCCUUGACAUGUCUGGAAUCCUGCAGAGAUGUGGGAGUGCUCGAAAGAGAAUCAGAACACAGGUGCUGCAUGGCCGUCGUCAGCUCGUGUCGUGAGAUGUUGGGUUAAGUCCCGCAACGAGCGCAACCCUUGUCAUUAGUUGCUACGCAAGAGCACUCUAAUGAGACUGCCGGUGACAAACCGGAGGAAGGUGGGGAUGACGUCAGGUCAUCAUGGCCCUUAUGGGUAGGGCUACACACGUCAUACAAUGGCCGGUACAGAGGGCUGCCAACCCGCGAGGGGGAGCUAAUCCCAGAAAACCGGUCGUAGUCCGGAUCGCAGUCUGCAACUCGACUGCGUGAAGUCGGAAUCGCUAGUAAUCGCAGAUCAGCUUGCCGCGGUGAAUACGUUCCCGGGUCUUGUACACACCGCCCGUCACACCAUGGGAGCGGGUUCUGCCAGAAGUAGUUAGCCUAACCGUAAGGAGGGCGAUUACCACGGCAGGGUUCGUGACUGGGGUGAAGUCG
This 1477-nucleotide ribosomal RNA is filed under the name metagenome. RNAcentral's name for it is "bacterial SSU rRNA". It matches the Rfam family "Bacterial small subunit ribosomal RNA". The record is from RNAcentral.